CCUACGGGAGGCAGCAGUCGGGAAUAUUGGGCAAUGGACGAAAGUCUGACCCAGCAAUGCCGCCUGAGUGAUGAAGGUCUUCGGAUUGUAAAACUCCGUCCUUCGGGGCGGACAAUGGUGACGUACCAACGACGAGAGU
This 139-nucleotide ribosomal RNA is filed under the name bacterium. RNAcentral describes it as "partial 16S ribosomal RNA". It matches the Rfam family "Bacterial small subunit ribosomal RNA", at positions 338 to 478 of the family's 1533-position model. The record is from RNAcentral.